This 454-nucleotide ribosomal RNA is filed under the name uncultured bacterium. RNAcentral describes it as "partial 16S ribosomal RNA". It matches the Rfam family "Bacterial small subunit ribosomal RNA", at positions 28 to 507 of the family's 1533-position model. The record is from RNAcentral.
GAUGAACGCUGACAGAAUGCUUAACACAUGCAAGUCAACUUGAACUUCGGUUUGGGUGGCGGACGGGUGAGUAACGCGUAAAGAACUUGCCUCACAGAUAGGGACAACAUUUGGAAACGAAUGCUAAUACCUGAUAUUAUGAUUAUAUGGCAUCGUAUAAUUAUGAAAGCUAUAUGCGCUGUGAGAGAGCUUUGCGUCCCAUUAGCUAGUUGGAGAGGUAACGGCUCACCAAGGCGAUGAUGGGUAGCCGGCCUGAGAGGGUGAUCGGCCACAAGGGGACUGAGACACGGCCCUUACUCCUACGGGAGGAAGCAGUGGGGAAUAUUGGACAAUGGACCAAGAGUCUGAUCCAGCAAUUCUGUGUGCACGAUGAAGUUUUUCGGAAUGUAAAGUGCUUUCAGUUGGGAAGAAAAAAAUGACGGUACCAACAGAAGAAGUGACGGCUAACUACGUG